GUGUCACGUCUGAUUUCCCUCCCCCUGCGUCUGUUGACGGUCGUUACAGUGUGUGUUGGCUCCGAUGUUGGUGCCUGUUAGCACUGUGCAAUGGGUUUUAAGAGUGCUAGCCUAUCAGGCUGACUCCCUGUAUGCCAGGGCACUGGUGGCUGCCACGACAGCUGUAUGCCGGUGUUCGUAAGGUGUUGUGCCUGGCGUAAGAAGCGGCUGUUUACCUCUUCGCGCUGUUUUAGCGCUGCUAUUUUAGCCUGCUGUGCGGACGUGACGUCAUUAAAGGGUGCUGCUGGUGUCUGGUCGGUCUUUUAACAUAGCACCGUAGUGCUCUACUUCAUAUGUGUUUUGAGGACAUGAACAUUUUAUGUUUUAUAGAUUAAAUGACACUCUGUAUGA
Non-coding RNA from Misgurnus anguillicaudatus (oriental weatherfish), 390 nucleotides. Lineage: Eukaryota; Metazoa; Chordata; Actinopteri; Cypriniformes; Cobitidae. The record is from RefSeq and is a predicted model, not a curated record.